UGGUUCUGGCAUCGAUGAAGAACGCAGCGAAAUGCGAUAAGUAAUGUGAAUUGCAGAAUUCAGUGAAUCAUCGAAUCUUUGAACGCACAUUGCGCCCUUUGGUAUUCCGAAGGGCAUGCCUGUUCGAGCGUCAUUUCAAACCCUCAAGCUUAUGCUUGGUGUUGGGCUAUUGUCUUUUGCAAAAAAGGAGACACGCCUGAAACUCAUUGGCAGUAGCGCCUAACUCUUCAGCGUAGUUAUUUUCAUUCCGCUUUAGUAGGUUAAGCAUUACCAGCCAGAUGAACCCCCCCAAUUUUUCUAUGGUUUGACCUCGGAUCAGGUAGGGAUACCCGCUGA
Molecule: unclassified non-coding RNA, 336 nt
Filed under: uncultured fungus
Lineage: Eukaryota; Fungi
Description: partial contains 5.8S ribosomal RNA and internal transcribed spacer 2
Rfam family: 5.8S ribosomal RNA (bases 1-133)
Source: RNAcentral